This 513-nucleotide ribosomal RNA is filed under the name uncultured bacterium. RNAcentral describes it as "partial 16S ribosomal RNA". It matches the Rfam family "Bacterial small subunit ribosomal RNA", at positions 28 to 523 of the family's 1533-position model. The record is from RNAcentral.
GAUGAACGCUGGCGGCGUGCCUAAUACAUGCAAGUCGAACGCACAGCGAAAGGUGCUUGCACCUUUCAAGUGAGUGGCGAACGGGUGAGUAACACGUGGACAACCUGCCUCAAGGCUGGGGAUAACAUUUGGAAACAGAUGCUAAUACCGAAUAAAACUCAGUGUCGCAUGACACAAAGUUAAAAGGCGCUUUGGCGUCACCUAGAGAUGGAUCCGCGGUGCAUUAGUUAGUUGGUGGGGUAAAGGCCUACCAAGACAAUGAUGCAUAGCCGAGUUGAGAGACUGAUCGGCCACAUUGGGACUGAGACGCGGCCCAAACUCCUACGGGAGGCUGCAGUAGGGAAUCUUCCACAAUGGGCGAAAGCCUGAUGGAGCAACGCCGCGUGUGCGAUGAAGGCUUUCGGGUCGUAAAGCACUGUUGUAUGGGAAGAACAGCUAGAAUAGGGAAUGAUUUUAGUUUGACGGUACCAUACCAGAAAGGGACGGCUAAAUACGUGCCAGCAGCCGCCGUAA